Molecule: ribosomal RNA, 279 nt
Filed under: uncultured bacterium
Lineage: Bacteria
Description: partial 16S ribosomal RNA
Rfam family: Bacterial small subunit ribosomal RNA
Source: RNAcentral
UGCCAGCCGCCGCGGUAAUACGGAGGGUGCGAACGUUAAUCGGAAUUACUGGGCGUAAAGCGCGCGUAGGCGGUUCGAUAAGUGGGAUGUGAAAGCCCAGGGCUUAACCCUGGAACUGCAUUCCAAACUGUCGGGCUAGAGUAUGGUAGAGGGAGGUAGAAUUUCCUGUGUAGCGGUGAAAUGCGUAGAUAUAGGAAGGAAUACCGGUGGCGAAGGCGGCCUCCUGGACCAAUACUGACACUGAGGUGCGAAAGCGUGGGGAGCAAACAGGAUUAGAUA